UGCAGUCCAUGGACGCAACAUGGUUCAUGGGGUUGGACUUGCGUGUUAUAUUAUACAAUACAUAGUAUUGAUUAUUUAUGAGGUUUUAAAAUUUAUUUAGCAAUAAUUUUUCUUUGAAUAAAUAUAUAUAAUUUAAAACCAAGUAUAAUGAUAAAACCAAAAAGAGUAACUUAAUGCUCUGAAUAAGAUGCAUUUCUUAUUUUCUUCGAUUAAACUAAGUAAUUGUUGUACAUAUAAUUUAGUUUCUUACACGUCUUUCACACAUUUCUCUGGAAUUCUGGAGUUUGUUUGCCUCCUUAUAAAAUUUGGAAAAAUGAUGAAUAUUAGUAUAUCUCAGGUAGAUGUUAAAUAAAGCUCAAGCAUUUUGGCCUUGUCAACGAUACAUUGUUCUUAUCAAAAUAAUUCAAAAUUUGUUCGGCUUAUAGUAAAUAGUAAUAUUUUGACUAAGACAUUCUGGGAUCCUAAUCAAAUUUAAUUAGCUUGGAUACUACACUUUCUUGUGUAUUUCCAGAUACAUGCACAUCAGCACAUGCAUGUGAUGGAUUUGUAUUCAUUAACUAAAAUCUACAUACAUGUAUAGUAGUAGUCCCUAAAAUGAAAAAUACAAAUAGUUACUUUGCAUGUACAAAAUACUCCACGUACAAAAUAUUUUCAACAGUAAAAAGAAAUCUAACGUGACUAAUGCUAGCUCUCUCAUACCCAUAUUAAUUAUAUUUCCCAUUUCCCCCACUCAUUAAUAUAUAUGUUUGCAAGGGCCAUUAAGUUGUUUAAAUUAGGGUAUAAAGAAUUCAGAGUUGAGGUUAGGUUUUGGAAAUUACUAGAAAACAGAGGUAAGGUGUUCUGUGCCAUUUUAAUGGAGUUGUCUGCUUUCGAUGAGUACUGGAAGCAUCCAAUACAAAUGUUUAUGUUCAUGGGCUGAGAUGAGAUUGUUCUUGAGAAACAAGCCAAGCCUAGCUCCAAGGGGGUCAAAUUUUGGUGUUUUCUGUGCCUUGUCUACCACUUAAUUGUUUAACCAAAUUGGGAUGGGAUGUGAUCUUUGAUAAAUGAUGAGAGUAUCAUUUUUGUGCUUGCAUGUGAAUGUCCGCCAACAAACAUUCACGUCGGUCGAGCCCAUCUAUCUCUCCUACCGGCUUACGGUUUUGCAUCCUUUCAACACAACAUGUUUAGAUUAAAGGAAAGGAAUGAAAUGAAGGAGGGAAUAGUAUAAUUUUAGUAAUUUAUUUUAAGUGUAUGUUUGGUAGUUAUUUAGUGGUGG
Molecule: long non-coding RNA, 1255 nt
Filed under: Panax ginseng (ginseng)
Lineage: Eukaryota; Viridiplantae; Streptophyta; Magnoliopsida; Apiales; Araliaceae
Description: long non-coding RNA (PGIN_LNC007992)
Source: RNAcentral